UACAAUUGCACCUAAUUACAUACGCUGGGAAACAAUGUCAAAGUGGAACUACCGCAUUUAAACCCGAGAACAAGGAUAUCAAUUCAUCAACCACAUACAUAAAUAAACCCUUCAACUCGACCCCUUUCCUUGCUUGUCACAUUUGGCAAUAUCUUUUCCCUUGCUAAAAGUCAGCUUGAGUGAUAUGUCGACGCCUCGUUUCUCAUUAAUUCUAACUAGUCCGUCAAACAACGUUGGCAACUCCUCUUCUUCCUUGUUGGGCGCAUGAUUCACCGGACAAUUAAUCGAACUCAAUUCCUCGCCGAAGACUUCAUCUUUCACCCAAUCAAAGUAUCUACAGUCAUCGCUACAUGUGAAGAACAAACGCCCUUUGUUACCGGUGUUCCGUUCAACCUCAAACAUUUUCGAUAUUCGUGGUCACAACUAAGGCAUCGUUGUUUUGAUUGGCAUUGUCCGAAAUAGUGAGUGUUGCUUCUAGAUCCGUGACAAACUCCAAAGUUUCUUCCUCUCAUUCUACUGGAUGACUGUAAAUGACGCAAUGUGAAUCAUAAUUGUGGGGCGUUCGAGGAUGAAAUAAAAACGACAACAUUCUGAUUAAUCGAAAAAUGAACGAAGUUUAGUUUUAAAUUUCAGUAUUACAAAAGGGCAGUAGUGGUCACCUUCAAGAUUUUAACUUCCACAAACACGUUUCUUGUAAUUUAAAAGCUUAUAAUCCCAGCACACAUGUAUCUUACAAGAAUAAACUAACAGUAUGGCCAACUAUCUAGAAGUCUGGUAACUUGAAAAUUAGAAAAAGAAUAAAGCUGUGUAUUAUAGCAGGGUUGUACCUUGUGCAGUGGGGCAAAAACGAAGAAAACAAAUUUUCUCAAAAGGCAGCGAAAUAAAAAGGGCAAUAAUAGUGAAAUCCUUUCAUAUACCCCUCAACCAACAACAUCAAUACAAACACAUCAAUACAGCCGCAUAAACCAAGUAUAGAUAUGCCCAAUAGCGUAAAUAGAACACACUUACCGAACUUUUGCAGCAGAUUCUGCCGAAGAAGGAGACACUUAUAUAGCUGCUUCGUCACCGAACUGAGAGGGAGGUAGUGCGAUCAUCGAUUCAACUUCGAUUAAGAUUUGUAGCACGCGAUUUCACCAUCUUCGGGUUUGCCUUCGUCGUCGCUUCGCCACUGGUCCGAACUUCAAGUUUGGGCGUCAAUCGAUUUCACUGUCCCGAGCUAGUGCAACGGUCGAUUGAGUUUCGGUUGGUGUUGGGUUCAGAUGUCAGCGACUUAGGGCUUCUCUUGAGAGGGUGUGGGUGUUGGAGUGGGGGGGAGAACGUUUCACACUUUCACUUCGCCCCUCUUG
RNAcentral lists this long non-coding RNA (1346 nucleotides) under Olea europaea subsp. europaea. The record is from RNAcentral. Lineage: Eukaryota; Viridiplantae; Streptophyta; Magnoliopsida; Lamiales; Oleaceae.